AUGUAUUUGCAUGACCCCUGCGGAUUUCACCCUACUACACCCGGAGCCAAUCCCCUAGCGGUCCUGCCACCACACUGCAGAACAGGAGCUCAUGUGGAACCUUGGAUUUCUGGCGUAACAGCGGUGGAAGGUAUCAAAAUAUUACGUCUGCAUAACCAGAACAUAGUAUAUAUUCUAAGGUCGGCCAAAAUAUGGACACCCGAAGGGCCCGGCGCGCAUAAUUCUAUCCUAUCCGAGCCCGUCAUUGCAUGCACUUCGGACAACCGUCCGUAG
Molecule: ribosomal RNA, 273 nt
Filed under: Triticum aestivum (bread wheat)
Lineage: Eukaryota; Viridiplantae; Streptophyta; Magnoliopsida; Poales; Poaceae
Description: partial small subunit ribosomal RNA
Source: RNAcentral